UACGAGGGGAGCUAGCGUUAUUCGGAAUUACUGGGCGUAAAGCGCGCGUAGGCGGUUUUUUUAAGUCAGAGGUGAAAGCCUGGAGCUCAACUCCAGAACUGCCUUUGAAACUGGAAAACUUGAAUCUUGGAGAGGUCAGUGGAAUUCCGAGUGUAGAGGUGAAAUUCGUAGAUAUUCGGAAGAACACCAGUGGCGAAGGCGACUAACUGGCUAAGCAUUGACGCUGAGGUGCGAAAGCGUGGGGAGCAAACAGG
This 254-nucleotide ribosomal RNA is filed under the name uncultured Sphingopyxis sp. RNAcentral's name for it is "partial 16S ribosomal RNA". It matches the Rfam family "Bacterial small subunit ribosomal RNA", at positions 524 to 776 of the family's 1533-position model. Lineage: Bacteria; Pseudomonadati; Pseudomonadota; Alphaproteobacteria; Sphingomonadales; Sphingopyxidaceae. The record is from RNAcentral.